RNAcentral lists this ribosomal RNA (1568 nucleotides) under Triticum aestivum (bread wheat). RNAcentral describes it as "partial small subunit ribosomal RNA". The record is from RNAcentral. Lineage: Eukaryota; Viridiplantae; Streptophyta; Magnoliopsida; Poales; Poaceae.
CCCACACCACCACCCCGCCCUCCUCCACCACCCUAACCCCUCCGCCCCCACACGCCUCCUCGCAUUCCCCCAAUGGCGGCCAUUACCACCACAACCGCGUCCUCCUCCUUCCUCCACCGCCGUAUCUCCUCGUCACCAGCAACAACCACCACCCCGCGUAGCCACCUGGUUCCCUUCCACGCGCGCAACCGGUGCCACCCCAGGUUCGCCUGCCGCGCCACCGAUGUGUCCGGGGCCGAGCCAUCGGCGCCUCCAGAGACCGGAGGGGGCAGCAGCUGGUUACCGGUGGUGCCGCUGGCGGCGCUCCCGCGGGGAGAGCGCCGUGUGAUCGUACAGGGCGGGGAGGAGAUCCUGCUUCUCUGGUACAAGGAUGAGGUAUUCGCCAUCGAGAACCGCUCCCCGGCCGAGGGCGCGUACACCGAGGGUCUCCUCAACGCCAAGCUCACGCAGGAUGGCUGCAUUGUUUGCCCAUCAACAGAUAGUACCUUUGAUCUUCGCACUGGAGAAAUAAAAGAGUGGUAUCCGAAAAACCCUGUUUUAAGGGCUCUGACACCUGUAUUGAGAAAACUAUUCGUGUACCCUGCAAAAACGGAUGGAGAAAAUAUAUACAUCAGCAUUAGGGGCGCUGCUAGCUCUGUAGGAUCAGCUGAGAUUCUGUUCAGCGGGAAAGCUCAACCAGGGAGUACUGCAUCUGAUGUCAACAUCGAAGAGGUGAGAAUGGUGGUCGAUGAAGGUGUAGGAGGUUUUGGUUUCACUGCUUACAAUGAACUGGUCAACGGAAAAGCUGCCAUAAUUGGCUUUCUAUUGUUGAUAGAUUUUGAACUUUUAACUGGUAAAGGCCUUCUCAAGGGGACUGGUCUAUUGGACUUCAUCUAUGCAAUUUCAAGAGCUUUCAGCUCGUAAAGAUGUUUUCUGUUUAGUGUGGAGUGUUAUCAAGGUUUAUUAACUCGAACCUGAAAGAAGUGUUCGAGUGAAUAAACCACUUCUUUCAGGUUCGAGUGAAUAACAAGAGAUUGCUGCUUGUUAUCAUGCAAGGAGUACAACAAUACUGUAUUAUUUCCGGUGUGAGGUUUAGUGGAGCAAUCUGAUUUCGAAGUAUUUAUGUAAAGCGCCUUCGAGUGCCAGGCCGGUUAUCUUGCCAGUUGAUCUACUACGUUAACCAAGGGGGCAAUGGUUGUGUGCAUCAUCGAUGCAGAAGCAGGGACGCAAUAAACUUUUCCACCAUCUAACACAAAAGUGCACAACAAUUUCAAUGUCAUCGUGAGGAAAUGUAGAGAGCACAUGCCCCAGGUUCAUUUCAGUGUGGAGUUCAACAAUGCUUAUGCUCUUCUAGAAAUGUAAAGAGCACAUGCCCCAGGUUCAUUUCAGUGUGGAGUUCAACAAUGCUUAUGCUCUUCUCUCAAAUAGGAUGCACAAUAAAUGGAAAUUCAAAAUGGAGUUCGGCUUUUUUGCUCCUGCGUGAACAGUUCAAAAGAAAAAAAAGGUAAGAAAAACCUGAUUUUUUUAAUGAACAUGUUUGUGUCUUCUAACCGUGUGUAUAUCUUUUGUGAAUAAAAGACCAGAUCACC